GAUGAACGCUGGCGGCGUGCCUAACACAUGCAAGUCGAGCGAGAUAUCCAUGACGAAUUCUUCGGAUGCCUGAAUGGAUGGAAAGCGGCGGACGGGUGAGUAACGCGUAGGUAACCUGCCCUGUACAAAGGGAUAGCCACUGGAAACGGUGAUUAAUACCUUAUGACACCGCAGCAUCACAUGGUGAAGCGGUCAAAGAUUUUAUCGGUACAGGAUGGACCUGCGUCUGAUUAGUUAGUUGGUGGGGUAACGGCCCACCAAGGCGACGAUCAGUAGCCGACCUGAGAGGGUGAUCGGCCACAUUGGAACUGAGACACGGUCCAAACUCC
Molecule: ribosomal RNA, 329 nt
Filed under: uncultured Clostridiaceae bacterium
Lineage: Bacteria; Bacillati; Bacillota; Clostridia; Eubacteriales; Clostridiaceae
Description: bacterial SSU rRNA
Rfam family: Bacterial small subunit ribosomal RNA
Source: RNAcentral